This is a long non-coding RNA of Homo sapiens (human), 579 nucleotides long. Ensembl annotates it as DLGAP1 antisense RNA 5. Its record names the gene DLGAP1-AS5. The record is from Ensembl. Lineage: Eukaryota; Metazoa; Chordata; Mammalia; Primates; Hominidae.
ACUUGCUCUUUUUUCCUCCCAUUUUAGCAGCCAAGGAUGGGAAUUACACAGCGAAAUGCAGGCUAAUCAGCUAAAUCUAGAUUAAAUAUGCUAGUCCUUGGGGACCUUGAGCUGAAUUAAUGGAAACCGAGGUUUUUAAUGUUCCAGACUAAUUUUGGAAGCUCACUUCCAGCAGAGGCAAACUUGAGGCUGUCCAAAGGGAGCAGAUGGCAAGGCUUUCUCCAGGUGCACCAACCUUUGAAACAGCCCUCGGCAAAACCAUGAGGAAGAGCAAGAAGAUCGAAGCAAAUGAACAAAGGUGGGAUCCGGUUCCAAUAAUGAAGAAUGUGAUGACUACAUGUAUACCAUUCUGGAACAGAGAAAAGACUGCCUGCAGCAAUAUCUCUAAAAACUACCUGUGGCAGACUCAGUGGAUGGUCAAGUUUGGCUCUGAAACAAGUCUCCUCAUUUGUCAGAGAAAGGACAGAGAAGAUCCAGUUUAUGUGAUUAAUUCAAUGAUAUUAGUAGAGAUCAUAGAUACAAUGAUCAAAAUAAGAACAUUGCUUUUUGCAAAAUCAGAUUAAACUGCACUCCAAAACA